GGCCCGUUAGCUCAGUUGGUUAGAGCGUCGUUAAUAACGCGAAGGUCGCGGGUUCGAUCCCCUCACGGGCCA
Molecule: transfer RNA, 72 nt
Filed under: Trichonephila inaurata madagascariensis
Lineage: Eukaryota; Metazoa; Arthropoda; Arachnida; Araneae; Nephilidae
Rfam family: tRNA
About the family: Transfer RNA (tRNA) molecules are approximately 80 nucleotides in length. Their secondary structure includes four short double-helical elements and three loops (D, anti-codon, and T loops).
Source: Rfam by way of RNAcentral